Molecule: ribosomal RNA, 253 nt
Filed under: uncultured bacterium
Lineage: Bacteria
Description: partial 16S ribosomal RNA
Rfam family: Bacterial small subunit ribosomal RNA
Source: RNAcentral
UACGAAGGGGGCUAGCGUUGUUCGGAAUUACUGGGCGUAAAGCGUAUGCAGGCGGAUCGUUAAGUCGGGGGUGAAAUCCCGAGGCUCAACCUCGGAACUGCCUUCGAUACUGGCGAUCUUGAGUCCGGGAGAGGUGAGUGGAACUCCGAGUGUAGAGGUGAAAUUCGUAGAUAUCUGGAGGAACACCGGUGGCGAAGGCGGCAUCCUGGACCGAUACUGACGCUGAGGAGCGAAAGCCAGGGGAGCAAACGGG